UUAACACAUGCAAGUCGAACGAAUUUUUACAGAAGGAAGCUCGGCCGACGGACGUAAGAAGUGAGUGGCGGACGGGUGAGUAACGCGUGGGUAACCUGCCUCACAUCGGGGGAUACCAGUCGGAAACGACUGCUAAAACCGCAUAAGACCACGGUAUCGCAUGAUACUGGGGCCAAAAACUCCGGUGAUGUGAGAUGGACCCGCGUCUGAUUAGCCAGUUGGCGGGGUAACGGCCCACCAAAGCGACGAUCAGUAGCCGACCUGAGAGGGUGAUCGGCCACAUUGGGACUGAGACACGGCCCAAACUCCUACGGGAGGCAGCAGUGGGGAAUAUUGCACAAUGGGGGAAACCCUGAUGCCAGCGACGCCGCGUGAGUGAUGAAGUAUUUCGGUACGUAAAGCUCUAUCAGCAGGAACGAUAAUGACGGUACCUGACUAAGAAGCACCGGCUAAAUACGUGCCAGCCGCGGC
Molecule: ribosomal RNA, 471 nt
Filed under: uncultured bacterium
Lineage: Bacteria
Description: bacterial SSU rRNA
Rfam family: Bacterial small subunit ribosomal RNA
Source: RNAcentral